ACUAUAUGCUACCACUACUAUAAGCAUGCUACUACAAGCAUAGUCUUACCCAAGGUAUUUACCCAAAAUAUUUAUUACGUUAACUAACGGUAUUUAUCACCCCACUACUGUAAGCAUAUUUACCCAACAUAUUUAUUAUAUUAACUAGAGGUAUUUAUCUCCCCACUACUAUAAGCUACCACUACUAUUAGUUAGUGUUAACAGUCACGACGAUCCCGUUCCCGACAAUUCCCAUUCGUGACGAUCUCAACGAUUUCGACGAUUCCCAUUCACGACGAUCUCAACGAUUCCGAUUCCCAUUGGCGACGAUCUCGAUGAUUCUGAUUCCCGUUGGCGACGAUCCUCAACAAUUCUGAUUCCCAUUCGCGACGCUGAUUCCCAUUCGUGACGAUCCUCCCUUCGUCGUGGCCUUUGUUUGGAAUCGCUUUCAAGGCAGAAGAAUGCAACUUCCAUUUUUUGGUCCCGCUUGGUAGCUCUUUAAAAAUGAUCCAGGACUGGUGGGAAGACAAGGAUUGGAAUCAACGGUGGAACUUCAAGAGAUGCUAAUCAAAAUGAAGAGCAUGACAUACCUGAUGUUGAUCUUGAUAUGGAUUAUGAUAUGUAGAGUUCAUAACAAUUGUCUUAAAUGUUGUGUAUUUGUCUAAGUAGCAAUUGUUUUGUACUUAUCUUGAACUUGAUAUAGAUAUUGAUGUGGUUAUUUUUUGUGUUGAGUUAGUAGUUGUUGUGUUCAAA
This is a long non-coding RNA of Quercus robur (English oak), 732 nucleotides long. RefSeq lists it as uncharacterized. The record is from RefSeq and is a predicted model, not a curated record. The transcript has 3 exons. Lineage: Eukaryota; Viridiplantae; Streptophyta; Magnoliopsida; Fagales; Fagaceae.